AUGUCCGGGACCAGCGGAGGAGGCAGCGCCACCGCCGGCAAAUCGGAUCUUGGUGAUUUCAUGGAGCAGCUCAACUUAGAGGACGAAGAGUUUGAUGAUCAGGUGAUCGAGGAGGAUGAUCCUGUUAUCAAUGAAGGAGUUCGCAGGUUAGCCCUUGCUAGGGUUCACACGGGUAAAACCUUCAGAUCGACGGCGUUUUACAGAGAGAUGCGUGCAGCCUGGAAUCCGGCGAAGCAGGUGAGGUUCAGGCCCGUCGGACCAAACUUGUUCGUCGUUCAGGCGGAGUGCCUUGGAGACUGG
RNAcentral lists this ribosomal RNA (300 nucleotides) under Triticum aestivum (bread wheat). Its description in RNAcentral is "partial small subunit ribosomal RNA". The record is from RNAcentral. Lineage: Eukaryota; Viridiplantae; Streptophyta; Magnoliopsida; Poales; Poaceae.